RNAcentral lists this ribosomal RNA (390 nucleotides) under Diaphorocera hemprichi. RNAcentral describes it as "partial large subunit ribosomal RNA". Lineage: Eukaryota; Metazoa; Arthropoda; Insecta; Coleoptera; Meloidae. The record is from RNAcentral.
UUUUUUAAUUGAAAGCUGGUAUGAAUGGUCGGAUGAGGAAGAUACUGUCUCACUUUUGUUUGGUUUGAAUUUUAUUUUUGAGUAAAAAAGCUUAAAUUUUAUAGAAAGACGAGAAGACCCUAUAGAGUUUAACAGGUUUGUUUUGUAAUGGAUUGAGGUUUAUAUUUUUAUUAUAAUUAGGCGUGUUUUGUUGGGGUGACAUUAGAAUUGGAUAAACUUCUUUAUAUUUUUACACUGAUUAGUGAAUACUGGAUCCUUGGUUUUGGAUUUAAAGAUUAAAUUACCUUAGGGAUAACAGCGUAAUUCUUUUGGAGAGUUCUAAUCGAUAAAAGGGAUUGCGACCUCGAUGUUGGAUUAAAGUUAAAUUUUGGUGCAGAAGCUGAAAUUUUG